CGGCAGCUCAAGUGGUAUCCGCUUUUACUGGGCUUAAAGCGUUCGUAGUCGGACGCGUCAGUCCUCGGUGAAAUCCUGCCGCUUAACGGUAGGUCUGGCCGAGGAUACUGCGCAUCUUGAGGCCGGGAGAGGCAUGGGGUAUUCCAGGGGUAGCGGUGAAAUGCUAUAAUCCUUGGAGGACCACCAGUGGCGAAGGCGCCAUGCUGGAACGGGCCUGACGAUGAGGGACGAAAGCUAGGGGAGCGAACGGGAUUAGAUACCCCAGUAGUCC
This 271-nucleotide ribosomal RNA is filed under the name uncultured archaeon. RNAcentral's name for it is "partial 16S ribosomal RNA". It matches the Rfam family "Archaeal small subunit ribosomal RNA", at positions 477 to 747 of the family's 1478-position model. The record is from RNAcentral.